RNAcentral lists this ribosomal RNA (558 nucleotides) under uncultured bacterium. Its description in RNAcentral is "bacterial SSU rRNA". It matches the Rfam family "Bacterial small subunit ribosomal RNA", at positions 353 to 913 of the family's 1533-position model. The record is from RNAcentral.
AGUGAGGAAUAUUGGUCAAUGGACGCAAGUCUGAACCAUCCAUGCCGCGUGCAGGAUGACGGUCCUAUGGAUUGUAAACUGCUUUUGUACGAGAAGAAACACUCCUAUGUAUAGGAGCUUGACGGUAUCGUAAGAAUAAGGAUCGGCUAACUCCGUGCCAGCAGCCGCGGUAAUACGGAGGAUCCAAGCGUUAUCCGGAAUCAUUGGGUUUAAAGGGUCCGUAGGCGGUUUAGUAAGUCAGUGGUGAAAGCCCAUCGCUCAACGGUGGAACGGCCAUUGAUACUGCUGAACUUGAAUUACUGGGAAGUAACUAGAAUAUGUAGUGUAGCGGUGAAAUGCUUAGAUAUUACAUGGAAUACCAAUUGCGAAGGCAGGUUACUACCAGUUUAUUGACGCUGAUGGACGAAAGCGUGGGGAGCGAACAGGAUUAGAUACCCUGGUAGUCCACGCCGUAAACGAUGGAUACUAGCUGUUGGGCGCAAGUUCAGUGGCUAAGCGAAAGUGAUAAGUAUCCCACCUGGGGAGUACGAACGCAAGUUUGAAACUCAAAGGAAUUGA